AGAGGAAGUAAAAGUCGUAACAAGGUCUCCGUAGGUGAACCUGCGGAGGGAUCAUUACCGAGUUCAUGCCCUUACGGGUAGACCUCCCACCCUAUGUUAUAUUACCUUUGUUGCUUUGGCGGGCCGCCCGGCUUCGGCCAGGCUACCGGCUCCAGCUGGUAAGCGCUCGCCAGAGGACCCUCAACUCUGAAUAUCAGUGUCGUCCGAGUACUAUAAAAUAGUUAAAACUUUCAACAACGGAUCUCUUGGUUCUGGCAUCGAUGAAGAACGCAGCGAAAUGCGAUAAGUAAUGUGAAUUGCAGAAUUCAGUGAAUCAUCGAAUCUUUGAACGCACAUUGCGCCCCUUGGUAUUCCGAGGGGCAUGCCUGUUCGAGCGUCAUUACAACCCUCAAGCACUGCUUGGUAUUGGGCUCCGCUGGCUCCAGCGGGCCUUAAAAUCAGUGGCGGCGCCGUUUGGGCUCUGAGCGUAGUAAAUAUCCUCGCUAUAGAGACCAGGCGGUUCUUGUCAUCAACCCCCAACUUUCUAAGUUUGACCUCGGAUCAGGUAGGGAUACCCGCUGAACUUAAGCAUAUCAAU
RNAcentral lists this ribosomal RNA (577 nucleotides) under uncultured fungus. RNAcentral describes it as "eukaryotic LSU rRNA". The stretch from base 226 to 379 matches the Rfam family "5.8S ribosomal RNA". The record is from RNAcentral. Lineage: Eukaryota; Fungi.